Triticum aestivum (bread wheat) is the source of this 1716-nucleotide long non-coding RNA. RefSeq lists it as uncharacterized. The transcript is spliced from 3 exons. Lineage: Eukaryota; Viridiplantae; Streptophyta; Magnoliopsida; Poales; Poaceae. The record is from RefSeq and is a predicted model, not a curated record.
ACUACUGGGCUUGGGAGGCGUACGAGCGACUGCGUUAGGUCCGUCCACUCGCGGCCGUAAACCCUAAUCCAGUCCCGAUCGAGGCGCGGCGGAGCGACCACAUACUCCUUAUUCGGUUGCUUCCAAGAAAAAGCCCCGAUUGGAGGCGCAGCGGGAGCGACCGCAUCGAAUCCAUCCACUCCGGAUCCGAGGCGCAGAGAGGACCCAAUGCAUCCAGUCUGUCCCGAUUCAAGGUGCGGCGGACCGACCACGUCGAAUCCAUCCAGCCCGGAUUCAUCCACUCCGUGAAUCGCCGUCCGGCUGUUCGUCUCUUGAAACUGCUACCGUGGGUUUGAAGGAAGUAAUCACUCUUCAGUUUCUCUCCAACCAUUCAUGACGGAUGAUGUGCGCCCCUCGCGGUCCUUAAUGGAUGCCUGGCUCUUUGUUUCUCAUUCUUCCGCUGUGUAUAUAUGCUUCCUCUAGGCUAACUUUUCUAACUCCAGCGACAGAACAUCCAUCAGCAUGGUGCUCUUCUAGGUUCCCCUCUGUCUUUAUUUUUUAUCAUCCAUGUACGAUAUUUGCUUCUUCCACCCAACUUGUACAGGUAUUGUUCAAACUGGGAGAUGGUCGAUUGAUUCGGCCAGAUAUUGGAAACUGGUUCUCGCAUUUUUUUUCUGAAAUUCUUUAGGUGAUAGUUCUAAUGGCUUCUGGACAGGUAAUUACUUCACUUGGACUACCAGAUUUCAUUUUUCGAUUCAUGUUUUACCAUCCAUGUUUUUACAGCAUAGAAGAUUAAUUACUCAUAUAUCUGUUAUCCACACCAUGGUUCUUCUAUUUGUUGCUGUACGCAACAGGUUUAAGUGGAGCAGUGUAGUUAUAUGCGCAAAAGAAUGUAGCCAUACUGUUAUAGAGGGGGGUGAAGCCUCAGUAUCUUCUUCUAUGCUGAAGUGAGCAAAGCCCAAUAAUCUUACCGAUAUUUGAAAGUAUGUGUGUUGAUUUUCAAGACACGGUGCAGGCUUUGCAUCAUUCCAAGCAUAAGGCAAGAUACACUUGGUUCAGUCUGGGGUCAGUGAUGUCAGCAAAUCAUUGGAAGAGUUCAGUAAGUGCAGUCUGUAUUUCAUUAUUUUUCUUACAAGGGAAGGCAUCACGGCAUAUAGUAAAUAAGUGAAGACCAUCGGACAGGCAACGUUUUUCUUUUCAGUGCUCUCCGCUGUGUCCGUGAUCAGAUUUGUGUGCAUAAAGAAGUGGAUGAACCUCUAACAUGUGUUCAUCACAUAAGAUCAUCAUAACAACCUUCCUUUUGGCAGGGGAGGGGCUAUUUUAGUUACGACCUGAGGCACAACGAGCAGGAGGAGUUGGCCAACUGGAGUGCUAGAUUCAGGGCAAGUUUGCCUAAGCACUUUUAUUAGUUCCGUUGAUAAUACCAGGACUGGAGAACUGAAAGCCCUUGUAGAUGCUAGAGGAACAAGAUUGACAACGGCCUUUUGCAUUGCACUCUUGAUAAAGCUUCAAGCUCAAGGCCUUUGUGAAGUUUUCCAGGAAGAAGAUUGACUAUAGCAUCUUGGAGUGCACUAAUAUUAAUAAAUAAACCCUUCAAUUUUUUUUGUCGCCCAAAGGCUACAAGUUCUGUAAUUUACCCAAAUACUUAGCAUUUUCUCUACCCAAAUAAGAGUGUAAUGUUUCAGAUCAUAUAUUCCCAGUAUUAUUAAGACAUCAUGUAUGUGAAGUUAUUUGUGC